RNAcentral lists this ribosomal RNA (466 nucleotides) under uncultured bacterium. RNAcentral describes it as "partial 16S ribosomal RNA". It matches the Rfam family "Bacterial small subunit ribosomal RNA", at positions 28 to 507 of the family's 1533-position model. The record is from RNAcentral.
GACGAACGCUGGCGGCGCGCCUAACACAUGCAAGUCGAACGAGCGAGAGAGAGCUUGCUUUCUCGAGCGAGUGGCGAACGGGUGAGUAACGCGUGAGGAACCUGCCUCAAAGAGGGGGACAACAGUUGGAAACGACUGCUAAUACCGCAUAAGCCCACGACCCGGCAUCGGGUAGAGGGAAAAGGAGCAAUCCGCUUUGAGAUGGCCUCGCGUCCGAUUAGCUAGUUGGUGAGGUAACGGCCCACCAAGGCGACGAUCGGUAGCCGGACUGAGAGGUUGAACGGCCACAUUGGGACUGAGACACGGCCCAGACUCCUACGGGAGGCAGCAGUGGGGAAUAUUGCACAAUGGGGGAAACCCUGAUGCAGCGACGCCGCGUGGAGGAAGAAGGUCUUCGGAUUGUAAACUCCUGUUGCUGAGGAAGAUAAUGACGGUACUCAACAAGGAAGUGACGGCUAACUACGUG